This 465-nucleotide ribosomal RNA is filed under the name Vreelandella stevensii. Its description in RNAcentral is "partial 16S ribosomal RNA". It matches the Rfam family "Bacterial small subunit ribosomal RNA", at positions 338 to 795 of the family's 1533-position model. The record is from RNAcentral. Lineage: Bacteria; Pseudomonadati; Pseudomonadota; Gammaproteobacteria; Oceanospirillales; Halomonadaceae.
CCUACGGGCGGCAGCAGUGGGGAAUAUUGGACAAUGGGCGAAAGCCUGAUCCAGCCAUGCCGCGUGUGUGAAGAAGGCCUUCGGGUUGUAAAGCACUUUCAGUGGGGAAGAAAGCCUUGGGGCUAAUACCCUCGAGGAAGGACAUCACCCACAGAAGAAGCACCGGCUAACUCCGUGCCAGCAGCCGCGGUAAUACGGAGGGUGCGAGCGUUAAUCGGAAUUACUGGGCGUAAAGCGCGCGUAGGCGGUCUGAUAAGCCGGUUGUGAAAGCCCCGGGCUCAACCUGGGAACGGCAUCCGGAACUGUCAGGCUAGAGUGCAGGAGAGGAAGGUAGAAUUCCCGGUGUAGCGGUGAAAUGCGUAGAGAUCGGGAGGAAUACCAGUGGCGAAGGCGGCCUUCUGGACUGACACUGACGAUGAGGUGCGAAAGCGUGGGUAGCAAACAGGAUUAGAUACCCGAGUAGUC